UACGUAGGGUCCGAGCGUUAAUCGGAAUUACUGGGCGUAAAGCGUGCGCAGGCGGUUUUGUAAGCCAGAUGUGAAAGCCCCGGGCUCAACCUGGGAACUGCAUUUGGGACUGCAAGGCUGGAGUACGGCAGAGGGAGGUGGAAUUCCACGUGUAGCAGUGAAAUGCGUAGAGAUGUGGAGGAACACCGAUGGCGAAGGCAGCCUCCUGGGCUAGUACUGACGCUCAGUGCACGAAAGCGUGGGGAGCAAACAGG
Molecule: ribosomal RNA, 254 nt
Filed under: uncultured bacterium
Lineage: Bacteria
Description: partial 16S ribosomal RNA
Rfam family: Bacterial small subunit ribosomal RNA
Source: RNAcentral